GAUUAUGGCUCAGGAUGAACGCUAGCUACAGGCUUAACACAUGCAAGUCGAGGGGCAGCAUAUCGAAAGCUUGCUUUGAUGAUGGCGACCGGCGCACGGGUGAGUAACGCGUAUCCAACCUUCCCUAUACUAGAGGAUAGCCCGGCGAAAGUCGGAUUAAUACUCUAUGUUCUUCGUAGAAGACAUCUGAAAUGAAGCAAAGGUUUACCGGUAUAGGAUGGGGAUGCGUCUGAUUAGGUUGUUGGCGGGGUAACGGCCCACCAAGCCCACGAUCAGUAGGGGUUCUGAGAGGAAGGUCCCCCACAUUGGAACUGAGAACACGGUCCAAACUCCUACGGGAGGCAGCAGUGAGGAAUAUUGGUCAAUGGACGAGAGUCUGAACCAGCCAAGUAGCGUGCAAGGAUGACGGCCCUAUGGGUUGUAAACUGCUUUUAUACAGGGAUAAAGUGCACUACGUGUAGUGUUUUGUAGGUACUGUAUGAAUAAGGACCGGCUAAUUCCGUGCCAGCCGCAGC
This 515-nucleotide ribosomal RNA is filed under the name uncultured bacterium. RNAcentral's name for it is "bacterial SSU rRNA". It matches the Rfam family "Bacterial small subunit ribosomal RNA", at positions 15 to 518 of the family's 1533-position model. The record is from RNAcentral.